This 1087-nucleotide long non-coding RNA is filed under the name Linum usitatissimum (flax). RNAcentral's name for it is "long non-coding RNA (LUSI_LNC006590)". Lineage: Eukaryota; Viridiplantae; Streptophyta; Magnoliopsida; Malpighiales; Linaceae. The record is from RNAcentral.
UCAUAUUCUUUUUUUAAUCCCAUAACCUUCGGCGAAAAUUGACCCGUUCUUCCUCUUCUAUUUUCUUAACCGCAUAGUUGCAAUGCCGGCAACAACUGUUCCCCUGUCAGGCAUCGACCAAGAUCGGACCUCCAUCCCUACCCGGUGAUGAAGACAAACGGCUUCCCUAUCGAUCUGAGUUUUAUGUAGUUAGUACAUAUGCAUUGAUCCCAUGAUCAAGAAUUUUGAUUUCUACAUCUGAAUCUAGCCCAUGAACAAGGAUUUUGAUUUAUUUCUCCGGCGUCUUUUUAUCAACGAAUAUGAAAUGCUAUUAUAAACAAAAUGCAAAUUGUACACAGAGAAGAGGAUCCAAAACUUGAUGAACUUACCUAGAGAAUGUACACAGGGGAGCAAAAGCGACCUCCCACCCAAAAACUGUUCAUCAAGACCAAAGCUCAUCUGACACCUACCCCAACAGCACUUCAAACACAGAGAGCAAGCACCCAAAGCCUUAUCCCAGAACAGAGCAUCCACCCAAGAGAAGAAACAAAAUUGUCACAGAAAUCAAAAAAUAAGUAAAUCCAAACCCACUGCAUACCGCAACUGGAAAAAACGUCACUAAUCCGGAGCGAGUGAAGACCAAAGAACACCCAACCACUCCACACAAGCCUGCUGCGACACCGAACACUCUGCGACACCGAACACUCUGCCACCACCCAACUCAUGACAGCAACAACAAAACGGUAAGCAAGACUAUAAGGCGAGAGCGAGAAGUCUUCUAUUUAUUAAGCGACCAUGUUGUGUUUUGGGCUAAAAUUAAGUAUUGGCCCAACAUGUUUUAAUAUUUUAAUUGACUGGCUAAUGAAUAAAUGCCAUGUGGCAUGUGUAUCCAAAGUCUCUGUCAUAUUUUCUAAUAUGCAUAUUACAUAAAGAAAUCAUUUUUAUGUAAUCCUAACACACAUGUAAUCUUAAUCAUAAUAAGUAAUUAAUCAUCAUUAUAAAAUGGAACUCACCAAUCAUAUUAGAUGUAUUAUGAGAUCGUGAGUAUCAUGGUUUUUGUAACUUGUUAUAUACUAAUUAUCAUAUUCGUGAAAGUUAAUUACAUGAC